AUGGGAAUUGGACAUGCAAAGGGUUCUGCUGGAGUACGAAUGAGAGAGUCAAAAAUUCCUACCAAUGUUCUCCGGGUGGGUUUACCCAAUACACAUAAAGUUAACGAGGAGGCACUAAGGCGGGCUAUGGCACCACAUGGUGUGGUUACAGACAUCAAAGUUUUUCCAGAAAGGCAGUAUGCUUUUGUGGAGUUUGCAACCAUUGAAGGAGCUUCUAAUGCUAAGAAUCUUCUAGAUGGACGUCUUUUCAAUAAUGCAAGGAUUCAUGUUCUUUUCUCCAGCAGUGGGCUUGAUAACCUGACACCGCUUGUUGGGUUCCCUAGACCAGAGAUGUAG
RNAcentral lists this ribosomal RNA (336 nucleotides) under Triticum aestivum (bread wheat). Its description in RNAcentral is "partial small subunit ribosomal RNA". Lineage: Eukaryota; Viridiplantae; Streptophyta; Magnoliopsida; Poales; Poaceae. The record is from RNAcentral.